UACGGAGGGGGCUAGCGUUGUUCGGAAUUACUGGGCGUAAAGCGCACGUAGGCGGCUUUGUAAGUUAGAGGUGAAAGCCCGGGGCUCAACCCCGGAAUUGCCUUUAAGACUGCAUCGCUUGAAUCCAGGAGAGGUGAGUGGAAUUCCGAGUGUAGAGGUGAAAUUCGUAGAUAUUCGGAAGAACACCAGUGGCGAAGGCGGCUCGCUGGGACGGUACUGACGCUGAGGCGCGAAAGCGUGGGGAGCAAACAGG
This 253-nucleotide ribosomal RNA is filed under the name uncultured bacterium. RNAcentral's name for it is "partial 16S ribosomal RNA". It matches the Rfam family "Bacterial small subunit ribosomal RNA", at positions 524 to 776 of the family's 1533-position model. The record is from RNAcentral.